Schizosaccharomyces pombe (fission yeast) is the source of this 342-nucleotide non-coding RNA. NCBI's taxonomy places the organism in Eukaryota, Fungi, Ascomycota, Schizosaccharomycetes, Schizosaccharomycetales, Schizosaccharomycetaceae. The record is from the annotation of a GenBank genome assembly.
ACUUUAAUUGUUAGAAAAUAGUUAAUUAAAAAAAGCACUUACAUCUUUGAAUGUUCUCUCGUACAGUAAAGGAUUUCUGAUAUUGACAUUUAACAAGAUACGGGAUGAGAUCUCCACGAAUGCUAGAAAUAGAUUCUUUCUCCCGGAUCAAAUCAAUAACCCAGUGUUUAAAUACAAAUAUAUGGGCAUCCGAAAGGUUUGUAUUUAACGUAACCCUUGGGUGUUUCCACAACAAAGACAUUCUAAAUGUAAAAUCACUGCCCACGUCUGCGGAACUUUUGGCAUACAAUAGUCUGCUCGUCUUCUCUUCAAUUCCAAUCAGUUGUUUUGCAUCAAUCUCUU